GACGAACGCUGGCGGCGUGCUUAACACAUGCAAGUCGAACGGAAAGGCCCCUUUGGGGGUACUCGAGUGGCGAACGGGUGAGUAACACGUGCGUAACCUGCCCUUGACUUCGGGAUAACUUCAGGCAACUGGGGCUAAUACAGGCCAGGAAUCCUUGCUGCCUGGUGGGGGUUGGAAAGAUUCGGCGGUUUUGGAUGGACUCGCGGCUUAUCAGCUUGUUGGUGGGGUAGUGGCUUACCAAGGCUUUGACGGGUAGCCGGCCUGAGAGGGCGACCGGCCACAUUGGGACUGAGAUACGGCCCAGACUCCUACGGGAGGCAGCAGUGGGGAAUAUUGCACAAUGGGCGGAAGCCUGAUGCAGCAACGCCGCGUGCGGGAUGACGGCCUUCGGGUUGUAAACCGCUUUCGGCAGGGGCGAAGCUUUUGUGACGGUACCUGCAGAAGAAGCACCGGCUAACUACGUG
This 464-nucleotide ribosomal RNA is filed under the name uncultured bacterium. RNAcentral describes it as "partial 16S ribosomal RNA". It matches the Rfam family "Bacterial small subunit ribosomal RNA", at positions 28 to 507 of the family's 1533-position model. The record is from RNAcentral.